This 782-nucleotide long non-coding RNA is filed under the name Homo sapiens (human). RNAcentral's name for it is "non-protein coding lnc-PPP1R12B-5:1". Lineage: Eukaryota; Metazoa; Chordata; Mammalia; Primates; Hominidae. The record is from RNAcentral.
GGAGAGAUAGGUUGGGGGCUAGGGGUUCCCGAAAUAAUUCAGGACACCUCCCCCGGGUCUAGCCAGGCAUCCCCUGCCCCAGGACAUAGACCUCACUCCCGAAGAAGCCGGGGACUGAAGUGCUGCAGCACCCGCUGCUCCUGGCCGGGCUGGAGCCUCUCUUCAGAAGGGCAGCAGCUCGCUUGUCACAGACCCUGGACUGCAGAAAAGCUGAUUCAGGGAUUUCCGGGCGGCUCCUCCUGUGGGGGAGUGUGCAUCUGCAUACCUGGGUGUUGGGAAGGGUGUGUGCGUGUGUUCAUGUGUGGGCUGGGGGAGAGGACACAUGCCUGAGCCCCUCUAGUCAGGUCUGCUGACCCCUCACUGUUCUUCAGAUGGAAAGGGGGACCUGGGGUAAAGGGCUCAAGGUCAGAUGCUCAGCAGGAGGGCACCAGGGGUUUCCCCCCACUCUGCUACACUCCCGUAACCUACCCCCACCUCGUCAUCCCACACUGAGGAGGGGACCUGUCACCUGAGAUGGGUGUGCGGGCUGAAGAGCAGUACCUGCUGCUCCUCUUCGGUUUCUCCCUGGGGAGAAAAGUGCUUCUGUUUUGAAAUCUCCCCCAAACCUUCUUUUGCUAGGACGAGGGAGGAUGGGACUCAAAUUUCAUUCAGCAGGCUGGAUUCAGGUUCGACUUUGGGGUUUCCUGAUGCUAAGGGUCUGGGGCAGCAUCCUGCUUGACAGGGAAAGCUUAUGCCUUCACGAUUGGAAUGUAGUGCUGCUUAGAUGAAAAGGGAUGGAUGAA